Hyaena hyaena (striped hyena) is the source of this 414-nucleotide long non-coding RNA. RefSeq lists it as uncharacterized. The record is from RefSeq and is a predicted model, not a curated record. Lineage: Eukaryota; Metazoa; Chordata; Mammalia; Carnivora; Hyaenidae. The transcript is spliced from 2 exons.
AGUCACAGGGAUGAGGGGCUGCUCGGGCAGAACUCAGUCCAAAAAGACCCGCUUCAGGUUCUUCUCUAGAACAUGGUGGCUUUACCCCACUUAUCUUGGGACAGCAUCUACAAGUCCUUGAGGAGAAUGUGCCUGCUGUACUGUUGUGCAUCUUCCAAGACGUACUCAGCACCGUCAUGCUUCUAAGCCAACUUGUGUAAGAGCUCUCCUGCUCCCUCCGUGGCCACAUCCUCGCAGUGGAAACAGAAGCCCGAAGAGAGGUAAGGUGAUUUUGAAGUCUAGUUUGUGGAAAAUAAACAAAGGGAAAAUGCUAGAAAAACUGAAAAAACAAACAAUGAAGCUGUGGAAAGUCUCUGUAAUUUGAAGAGUGUGCAUGGAUAGACAGACCAUGAACAUGCAUUUUUGUGGACAAAA